GUUUCCGAUGGGAAGCGAUAAACGUGGGCUGUCUCUUUAUUUCGAAUGUAUGACGCCGAACCACUUGAAACGUUGUAGAAGUGCGCGCGAAGAAAUAGGUUCUUUUAUCAAUCAGUUAUAAAAGAGCAUUUCAGUUCACAACAGUCAUCCAGUAGUAUUCGAAAAGCCCUCCAUAGAAGUGCAGUAAUAUUGUUACGUGUACAGAGGAUAUUGCAAAGCUAUGAGUGCAAAACAAAUUUUAGUGAAAGCUUUCGCUAUAAUAUUGGUAAUGGAGUUCUUUAUGGCGGCAAGCAGUACUGUCGACUGUCAAUCUGUUGAUUCUUCCGAAUCUGUAGGAAGCGAAGCAGAAAUUGAGCAAGCUAACAUAAUCGACGCUCCCGUCGUUUGUCCCCCGGGACAGCUCCCGGACUCUAAUGGGAAAUGUCGACCCUACUGGGGCAGAGGAAAAGAGGAGUGAAUAGUCUGUUUGAUUGAAGUUGAUGCUUUCUGGAGGCGUUACGUAUAAUCUUAAUUUCUGUACAUGCUUUCUGCUGGAUUGAUCACUAAAUCCUGAUCAACUAAUGGUUUAAAACUGUAUGCAGUUUAUUAUUUGGUUUCGUUCAUUUUGUUUAUAUCUGCAUCUGAUCAAAUGCAGAAAUAAAGCUCCGGUAUUUUUGAAAACAUAAAAUCAAAUUUUCGACACAGUCAAA
Molecule: long non-coding RNA, 689 nt
Organism: Wyeomyia smithii (pitcher-plant mosquito)
Lineage: Eukaryota; Metazoa; Arthropoda; Insecta; Diptera; Culicidae
Exons: 2
Source: RefSeq, a predicted model, not a curated record